Molecule: ribosomal RNA, 253 nt
Filed under: uncultured bacterium
Lineage: Bacteria
Description: partial 16S ribosomal RNA
Rfam family: Bacterial small subunit ribosomal RNA
Source: RNAcentral
UACGUAGGGGGCAAGCGUUGUCCGGAAUCAUUGGGCGUAAAGCGCGUGUAGGCGGCCCGGUAAGUCCGCUGUGAAAGUCGGGGGCUCAACCCUCGGAUGCCGGUGGAUACUGUCGGGCUAGAGUGCGGGAGAGGCGAGUGGAAUUCCUGGUGUAGCGGUGAAAUGCGCAGAUAUCAGGAGGAACACCGAUUGCGAAGGCAGCUCGCUGGGACGUCACUGACGCUGAGACGCGAAAGCGUGGGGAGCAAACAGG